Molecule: ribosomal RNA, 723 nt
Filed under: Paenarthrobacter ureafaciens
Lineage: Bacteria; Bacillati; Actinomycetota; Actinomycetes; Micrococcales; Micrococcaceae
Description: bacterial SSU rRNA
Rfam family: Bacterial small subunit ribosomal RNA
Source: RNAcentral
UUUGAUCCUGGCUCAGGAUGAACGCUGGCGGCGUGCUUAACACAUGCAAGUCGAACGAUGAUCCGGUGCUUGCGCCGGGGAUUAGUGGCGAACGGGUGAGUAACACGUGAGUAACCUGCCCUUGACUCUGGGAUAAGCCUGGGAAACUGGGUCUAAUACCGGAUAUGACUCCUCAUCGCAUGGUGGGGGGUGGAAAGCUUUUUGUGGUUUUGGAUGGACUCGCGGCCUAUCAGCUUGUUGGUGGGGUAAUGGCCUACCAAGGCGACGACGGGUAGCCGGCCUGAGAGGGUGACCGGCCACACUGGGACUGAGACACGGCCCAGACUCCUACGGGAGGCAGCAGUGGGGAAUAUUGCACAAUGGGCGAAAGCCUGAUGCAGCGACGCCGCGUGAGGGAUGACGGCCUUCGGGUUGUAAACCUCUUUCAGUAGGGAAGAAGCCCUCUUUGGGGGUGACGGUACUUGCAGAAGAAGCGCCGGCUAACUACGUGCCAGCAGCCGCGGUAAUACGUAGGGCGCAAGCGUUAUCCGGAAUUAUUGGGCGUAAAGAGCUCGUAGGCGGUUUGUCGCGUCUGCUGUGAAAGACCGGGGCUCAACUCCGGUUCUGCAGUGGGUACGGGCAGACUAGAGUGCAGUAGGGGAGACUGGAAUUCCUGGUGUAGCGGUGAAAUGCGCAGAUAUCAGGAGGAACACCGAUGGCGAAGGCAGGUNUNUGGGCUGUAAC